Molecule: ribosomal RNA, 162 nt
Filed under: uncultured bacterium
Lineage: Bacteria
Description: partial 16S rRNA
Rfam family: Bacterial small subunit ribosomal RNA
Source: RNAcentral
UAGGGAAUCUUCCACAAUGGGCGAAGGCCUGAUGGAGCAACGCCGCGUGUGUGAUGAAGGGUUUCGGCUCGUAAAACACUGUUGUAAGAGAAGAAUGACAUUGAGAGUAACUGUUCAAUGUGUGACGGUAUCUUACCAGAAAGAACGGCUAAAUACGUGCAG